This 472-nucleotide ribosomal RNA is filed under the name uncultured bacterium. Its description in RNAcentral is "SSU rRNA". It matches the Rfam family "Bacterial small subunit ribosomal RNA", at positions 26 to 518 of the family's 1533-position model. The record is from RNAcentral.
AGGACGAACGCUGGCGGCGUGCUUAACACAUGCAAGUCGAGCGGAAAGGCCCUUCGGGGUACUCGAGCGGCGAACGGGUGAGUAACACGUGAGUAAUCUGCCCCUAGCUCUGGGAUAGCUCCGGGAAAACCGGGAUUAAUACCAGAUACGACCACUUUAGACAUCUGUUGUGGUGGAAAGAAUUUUGGCUAGGGAUGAGCUCGCGGCCUAUCAGCUUGUUGGUGAGGUAACGGCUCACCAAGGCGACGACGGGUAGCCGGCCUGAGAGGGCGACCGGCCACACUGGGACUGAGACACGGCCCAGACUCCUACGGGAGGCAGCAGUGGGGAAUAUUGCGCAAUGGGCGAAAGCCUGACGCAGCGACGCCGCGUGGGGGAUGAAGGCCUUCGGGUUGUAACCCUUUCAGCAGGGACGAAGCGAAGUGACGGUACCUGCAGAAGAAGCGCCGGCUAACUACGUGCCAGCAGCCGC